This 727-nucleotide ribosomal RNA is filed under the name fungal sp. I15F-00355. RNAcentral's name for it is "LSU rRNA". It matches the Rfam family "Eukaryotic large subunit ribosomal RNA", at positions 694 to 1424 of the family's 3401-position model. Lineage: Eukaryota; Fungi. The record is from RNAcentral.
UUGGGUGUUAACCCUCACGCGUAAUGAAAGUGAACGGAGGUGAGAGCCCUUCGGGGUGCAUCAUCGACCGAUCCUGAUGUCUUCGGAUGGAUUUGAGUAAGAGCAUAACUGUUCGGACCCGAAAGAUGGUGAACUAUGCGUGGAUAGGGUGAAGCCAGAGGAAACUCUGGUGGAGGCUCGCAGCGGUUCUGACGUGCAAAUCGAUCGUCAAAUCUGCGCAUGGGGGCGAAAGACUUAUCGAACCAUCUAGUAGCUGGUUACCGCCGAAGUUUCCCUCAGGAUAGCAGUGUUGUCUUCAGUUUUAUGAGGUAAAGCGAAUGAUUAGGGACUCGGGGGCGCUAUAUUGCCUUCAUCCAUUCUCAAACUUUAAAUAUGUAAGAAGCCCUUGUUACUUAAUUGAACGUGGGCAUUCGAAUGUACCAACACUAGUGGGCCAUUUUUGGUAAGCAGAACUGGCGAUGCGGGAUGAACCGAACGCGGGGUUAAGGUGCCAGAGUGGACGCUCAUCAGACACCACAAAAGGUGUUAGUACAUCUUGACAGCAGGACGGUGGCCAUGGAAGUCGGAAUCCGCUAAGGACUGUGUAACAACUCACCUGCCGAAUGUACUAGCCCUGAAAAUGGAUGGCGCUCAAGCGUCUCACCCAUACCUCGCCCUUAGGGUAGAAACGAUGCCCUAAGGAGUAGGCGGCCGUGGAGGUUAGUGACGAAGCCUAGGGCGUGAGCCC